GUCCUUGCCUCAACAGCACAUGUACUAAAAAUGUAACAUUACAGAAAAGAUUUUUAUGGCCCUUAUAUAAGGAUAAGUAGAUUACGAAGCAUUCUAUAUUUCU
This 103-nucleotide small nuclear RNA is filed under the name Vulpes vulpes (red fox). The record is from RNAcentral. Lineage: Eukaryota; Metazoa; Chordata; Mammalia; Carnivora; Canidae.